UUUUAUGUAAUUUAAACAUUUGUGUACUCACAUUGAAUUAUAUAGCUGGAGUACCCGAGUUGGUUACACGCAAAAACAAUUAAGACCCAGCCAGUAAAGUGAUCCCGACUGGACCUGGCUAACGUCGCCAUGCUAACUGCUAAU
Molecule: long non-coding RNA, 144 nt
Organism: Etheostoma spectabile (orangethroat darter)
Lineage: Eukaryota; Metazoa; Chordata; Actinopteri; Perciformes; Percidae
Exons: 3
Source: RefSeq, a predicted model, not a curated record